CUGCCACGGCUCUGUCAUCCAGGGCCAGUUUGAGGGUUCCGUCCUUACAGCCAAUGGGGCAUAUCAUGUAGAGCCCAUCCACAGAUACACCAGCCAGCCCUCACAACACCACUCAAUCAUCUACCAUGAGGAUGACAUAGGAAGUUCCGGUGUCCAGGUCGAAGAGAACAUCGGACAAUUCUAAAACCAGCUGCCUGCUCUAUCUCCCUGCCGACCACUUCUACUACAGGAAGUUCGAGAGCGUUGAAGCUGUUGUGGCUCAGGUCGCUGAGGCACUGUUCCAGCAGAUCAUCUGGCACUAUGGCCUUCCGGAGGAUAUCGUCUCCAAUCGUGGCCCUCAAUUCACAUCAUGUGAGAAAGAGCAGGCGGAAACAAUAGGCGGAUCGCCACCACAGUGAGGCUCCCGUGUUCCAUCCUGGUGAUCGCGUCUGCCUCUCCAUCAGGAACCUCCCGCUCCGUCUGCCCUGUAAGAUGCUGAUUCCCUGGUUUGUGUGGCCGUUCAAGGUCCUCCGGGAAGGUCAACGAGGUAAUUUACAUAUUACAACUCCGCACUAACUAUCGGAUCUCACCAUGUUUUCAUGUUUCCCUCCUCAGGCCGGUGGUUCCUGGUCCCCUGGUGGAUGCCGUCCCCCACAAAACCCCUCCGCCUCCCUUGGACAUUGAGGGGAGCCGUGCCUAUGCCGUCAGAUCACUCCGUCGUGGGGGUCGGCUCCAGUACCUGGUGGACUGGGAGGGGUACGGUCCAGAGGAGCGGUGCUGAGUUCUGGCGGAUGACAUUCUAGAUCCCCACAUCAUCCAAGAAUUUCACCUUCCCUACCGGACCGGCCUGCUCCUCGCACUUGGGGCUGUCCUCCUGGCCGGCGUCAUCCUGCGGUUGGAGCCGCGCGUUGGGGGGAGGUACUGUCACCUACUCCCGCUCCCCCUCUCCGGCACUCAACGUCGCCGGUCUACUAACCACCAGUCAUUACGCACACCUGACAACCCUCAUUACGCACACAUGCGUCCCAUCAUGAGGCACACCUGGAUUCCAUCAUUACCCUGAUUACUUCCCCUUUAUCUAGCACUCCUUUGU
Non-coding RNA from Salmo salar (Atlantic salmon), 1072 nucleotides. The record is from RefSeq and is a predicted model, not a curated record. NCBI's taxonomy places the organism in Eukaryota, Metazoa, Chordata, Actinopteri, Salmoniformes, Salmonidae.